This 497-nucleotide ribosomal RNA is filed under the name uncultured bacterium. RNAcentral describes it as "partial 16S ribosomal RNA". It matches the Rfam family "Bacterial small subunit ribosomal RNA", at positions 27 to 507 of the family's 1533-position model. The record is from RNAcentral.
GGGGGGGGGGGGGGGGGUGGGGGGGGGGGGCGGGGGGGGGGGGGGGGGGGGGGGCUGGGUCCGGGGACGUUGGCGGCGGACGGGUGAGUAGCGCGUGGAUACCCUACCUGUAAGACUGUGCUAACUUCGGGAGACCGGAUCUAAUACCGGCUCACAUCUUGAACCGCAUUGGUCAAUAUUGAAAGGCGGGUUUUCUGUCACUUCUAGAUUGAUCCGCGCUGUAUUAGCUAGUUGUUAAGGUAACGGCUUACCAAGGCAACGAUACGUAGCCGACCUGAGAGGGUGAUCGGCCACACUGGAACUGAGACACGGUCCAGACUCCUACGGGAGGCAGCAGUAGGGAAUCUUCCGCAAUGGGCGAAAGCCUGACGGAGCAACGCCGCGUGAGUGAUGAAGGUCUUCGGAUCGUAAAACUCUGUUAUCAGGGAAGAACAAAUGUGUAAGUAACUGUGCACAUCUUGACGGUACCUGAUCAGAAAGCCACGGCUAACUACGUG